Brassica napus (rape) is the source of this 6338-nucleotide RNA transcript. RefSeq lists it as uncharacterized. The transcript is spliced from 7 exons. NCBI's taxonomy places the organism in Eukaryota, Viridiplantae, Streptophyta, Magnoliopsida, Brassicales, Brassicaceae. The record is from RefSeq and is a predicted model, not a curated record.
UAUGAUUUUGUUUUCAAAAACUGGAAUAUACUAAAAUAAUACAUACUAAUGUGAACUAUUUCUAUGUUUAGAAAUGGUUUCGGAGCGCACAUAGUUAAAACUAGGGGUGGGCAAAAAAACUGAACCGAACCGAGUCAAACAGAACCAACCGAACCGAAACCGAUUCAAACCGAACCAAAGUAUAUUUUAAACUGUUCGAUUGAAGAUUUUCCCAAACCGAAUGGUUCGGCUCACCGAACCGAAAAACCGAUGUGUUUUUGUAAUUAUUUAAAUUAAAAAUACUAGUAAUACCAAUACUAAAAUUCUAAUACCAAAUUACGUAUUUUCCAUUUUUUAUUUAUUAACAUAUAUUCUUGUGACCUAAUAUGUAAUCAUCAAAAUGUUUGAUUUAAAAAAAUAGAAAAAAUUGUAUUUUUAUAUUCUUAUAUAUGUAAACGUGGAAACCUAAAACCUAAAACCUAAAACCUAAAGCAAAUUUUAGUGUCACAUGGAAGAUGAUUCAGUGAAGGCUUUUUAGUAAUGAUAUAAGAGACAUUACUAUUGAUGUUGAUUUUUUUUUUAAUUUUAGUUAACUUUCAUUCAUUUUAAUUCUUAUAUACUUUUUGUCACUCUUUUAAAGGUUUUUGUUUCAGUUUUAUAUGGAAUUUAGUUCACAUAGUUUAUGUUUACAUAAUUUAUAUUUUAAAACAUAAUUCUCUAAAAAAUUAAGCUAAGAAGAACCUAAUUAAACUGAUCCAAAAAACAAACCAAAACGAAGACAAACCGAACCGAAGACAAACCGAACCGAAUAUAAACCGAACCAAACACAAACCGAACCGAACCAACUAACUAUGGUUUAUUUUGAUUGAAAAAAUACUAGAACCAAACUACGCAAAUCGAACCGAACCUGAACCGAACCGAGAAAAUAACCGAAGUGCCCACCCCUAGUUAAAACUCUCGAUGAUGAUGAUCUUCGUUACACUGGAAGUCCGCAUGAGAAAAAAAAUGAAAAAAAAAAGAGGAGAAUGAGGGAGGGAGGGAGAUUCAGAUGGAGAUAGAAAGGAGAGAAGACUAUUUAAUAUAUUAUUCUAUAUUUAUUGAGCAUAUAGUAUAAAAUAUAAUAAAAUUUCAUUUUAAACAUAUUAUAUCUAGUGUUAAAAAACAUAUUAUAUAUUUUUGAAAAUAUAUAUCUUUUCGGAAAAAAAUUUAUAUUGUGUAUGACGUUGAUACACCAUAGUUUCACUUUAAAAUACAUAAUUUAAUAAUUUAUCAUCAUUUUAUAAAAAAAAAUAUAAAUAUGUGUUAUUCUAUAAGGUUGAUAUAGUAUAGUACUUAGCUUUGGUCUUAAAGUUUUUUAACUGAUUUUAUGAAAAAUAUAUGUCAGUUUGAAAUUUUUUAAACUAUGGUAUAUGCAGAAAAAAAUCUAUGUUAUAAUUUCUUGAUUUGAUUAUCUUAAUACAACAACUAUAGAUCAAAUGAAAUUAGAGGGGGAAAGGAAAAAAAAAAGAAAACAAAAAGGAAAAAGAUGAAAACCAGUGGUUAAGAUUGAUUAGGGGUAGCAAUUGUAAUAUUACAUAAUAUAUACACAAUACUUUAGCCAUGAGUUUCAUAUGGUCAUUUGUCAAAUUAUAAUUUUUUUUUAUAGUUAUACAAUGCAAAUUCCCUAAAAGUUUUUCUUUCAUAUAUUUUGUCAAACACAUGAAAUGCAUGUAAUGUGUUUCCAUUUGCAAAUACUUUUCAUUCUCCAUAACCAUCUUCACGUGCAUGCAUUAGAACAUAAACUGAAAUCAAAUCUUGAUUGGCAAAUCAAAUGAUUAGUUUGAGUUGAACUAAAUUUUGACAUUUGUACUUUUUGUUACAAAAGCUGUAAAAAAAUUAUUAAUUGAUAAUUUGGGUAUCUAAAAGGAUGUAAACUUUUUUUUUUUUGAAACACUAUUAACUUUUAGUUAUUUAUAAUCGAUUUUUUCGUAUUUAAUAUUUUAAUUGGUAAACUUUUAUCACAGAUCUUUGCAGACUCAUUGUCUCCCUCUCUUCUCCUCCUCCGCAGAUCAUUGGAUUAAGAGGUACAAUGUCUCUCUAAUUUCUAAUUUCUGUACAUUACCACUAUUCCAGUUUGGUUUGGGACUCAAAUCAUUUGAAAUAACUAGGAUGAAAAUAUUGGUUAAUUCAGGGUUCUGAUAUAAAAUAUCAAGUAAUUUGAAUUGUUCAUAUUAAAUUAUCGGAUGAUUUGCAUAAUUUAAUAUUAUUUGGAUAAAGUUAUUCAUGCGAUUUUGUAUUUUUGGGUAGUUCAUUUUUAUAUAAUAUUAUAUUUUAACAAAUAUAAUUUUUCUUAGAUAUACAGUUAUUGUAAACUAAAUAUAGCUACUAUUUCCAAGAAUGUAAAUUAUAUCAAGGAUAUUCUGUGUAUCCAUUAGGUUUUGGAUUUUUUGGUAUAUAAAAUGCUAGGCCUGGUAUAUAUAGAGAUAUGGGUUGUUUGAAAUUUUUUCUUCUUGAUAUUUCCCAUUCUCAUGAAUCUCAUGAUGCGACUGCUUUAGAGACCUCCAUACCAAGAUAUUGUCAAUAUUGGUCCUGGGGUGAAACUACACGUCGUGGUCAAGUUCUCGAAGCUGAUGGGGAGAAAGCUAUUGUUUAGUUCUAGGUUGGUGGCCACUUGUGUCUUUUUGGGAUGUUGCUUUUUGGUUACGCCCAUGCUUUCUGUAGGAGUAGCUUCUGAAUUGAGUUACUCUAAUGGGCAUAAGAAUCCAAAAGAGGUUAGUGAGGCAGUUCAAUUCACGUUGAACAGAAAACCUAAGAUUUUACUCCAGUGGACCCCUCAUGCUUCUCACAAGAUUAAGCUAGCUGUGAGGGGAGAUUUUCCAAAAGCAUCUGGUGACUACAAGUGGCUUAGCUCAGAUAUGAGGAUUGUGUAUGUGUCAUCCUAUGGAAAGAGGCCUGGAAUAGCCAUUGUGAAGACUGUAUCGAAUCGUGAUCCUCAGAAUUUUGAUGAGAUUCUUGUCAGAGUUUUCGCAAGCCACGAUAAUGUAAGCUGUGAUAUGAUCCUAGAGCCCAUACUGAACAAUGACCAGCUCGAGCCAAACUGUAUCUUGAAACCAAACCUUAUAUCCAUGGAUUGCAUUGACAUGACCCUCCUAGUAUACUCUCCCGUUGGUGGUAUCAUUGCUAUACUAUUACAUUAUUUUUGUGUUUUUCGACACAGUUGCUAUGUUAUGCAUGAUAAGUGCCAUCGUUCUAGAAGACGGUCCAGACGGAUGUCUAUACGGCACAUGUAUAGGCGCUAAGCAGCUACAGUUAUGUUAUUCCUCCUCCAUUUUAUUUAAAUAACGUUAUUAGAUUUGCUAAGUUGUUAUACACUACAUUUUAAUUUGUCAAGGUGUUAUUCACUAAUACGCUACAUCAUCUCUUCUAUCUAUUGCUAUCAAAAUGUUUUGUAGCCUGGUGGUAGUAUAAGAGGAUUUUUUUUUUUUGAUGAAAUAUCAAACUGAUUGAGAAAUUAAGAUGGCAAUUUACAUGUGGUUGGCAGAAUAUAAAGAAUUUUUAAGAAAAUAAUAACUAGAGCUGGCUAAAUAAAACAUAUCUAGAGCUGUCUAAACAUCUGUCUUAAAAUGUGUUUCCAUUUUCAAAUACUUUUCAUUCUCCAUAACCAUCUUCACGUGCAUGCAUAAGAACAUAAACUGAAAUCAAAUCUUGAUUGGCAAAUCAAAUGGUCAGAUUAAGUUAAACUAAAUUUUGACAUUUAUACUUUUGUUACAAAACCUGUUAAAAAUUUAUUAAUUGAUAAUUUGGGUAUCUAAAAGGAUGUAAAAAUAAUUAACUUUUAGUUUUUUUUGAAACAGUAUUAACUUUUAGUGAUUUUUUCGUAUUUAAUAUUUUAAUUGGUAAACUUUUAUCACAGAUCUUUGCAGACUCAUUGUCUCCCUCUCUUCUCCUCCUCCGCAGAUCAUUGGAUUAAGAGGUACAAUGUCUCUCUCAUUUCUAAUUUCUGUACAUUACCACUCAUUUAAAAUAGACACCAUCGUUCUGGGUAGAGAAUUGUUCGGUGUGUUAUGGCGAAUAGGGAUCUAUACGUUUUAUCCGAUUCACAGAUUCAUCGUCGCAAAUUGAUAACUUAGAUUCACGUCGGCAGAUAUCUGCUGAGAUUUUCAGAUAUAUCUUGUCAUGUUCUAUUGCCCACUACAUUCCCUCAUUUGAAUGUAUGGGUAAAAUAUAAGUGACAUUUGUAGUUUUUAAAAUCUUUUCUAAAACAGAAUUCGAAGAGAUUUAUUCUUUAGAAAGAAUAUGGGAUGUGGAAAGACACAACAACACUUUUAAAGCACCUACCAAUCAAGUCCAUAUAAAUCGUUCUGGUUUAUAUGAAAUUUGGUUCGAUUCUGGUAAACAUAUUGGGAUUCUGGCAAACAUAUUGGGAAUCUGCUAACACCUGAAUUUUUUUGGAUCCGACUGAUUCCAGUUCGGUCCUUUAGAUAGCUUCAACAAACUCGGAUACAAACAUCCUUUAAUUUGAGGUUUUCAGAUAAAAUAUCAAGAAAUUUUCUUUGUUCAUAUUAAAAUAUGGGAUGAUUUGCAUAAUUAAUACUACAGUGAAAACUCUAUAAAUUAAUAACGUUAGUACUAUGACAUUUUAUUAAUUUUUAGAUUUAUUAAUUUACCAAAGUUUCAUUUUUAGAUUUUUCUAUUUCAAGAUAUAUUUUUUCCUUAAAUAAGAAAAAUAUUUUAUUUUAGUGUAUAUGCAUUAAUGUAUUUUGAAAUUCGACAUUUAUAUUGGUUCUAUUAUAUAAUUUGGUGUAUAUAAAAUAUAUAUAUCCUAGAAUUUAAAUGUAGUUUAGAUAUAAUUUUACUAAAUAUCAUCAAACUAUAUUAAAUGUUAACAAACUAUAUUAAGCGUUAAGAAUAUAUAAAGAUAAAUUCAUUCUAAAUAUACGACAAACAAUAUAAUGAUUGGUUUGUACAUAUAUAAAAUGUGUAUACAUAUAAAUUAUUAAUUUAUACUUUUAAUGAGAUCAUUUAUUUACAUAAGAUUUUCUAAAACGUUAUUACCUUAUUAUCUUAUUAUCUUAUCGAUUUGUAUUAUAUUUUGAACCGGCCCAACUUGGGACCGGAGAAAUUUAUUAAUUUAUAGUAUUUCUUAAUUAAUUUGCCGAGUAUUAAUUUAUAGAGUUUCUACUGUAUCCGGAAAAAAUAUUCAGACAAUAUAUUCUGUCUUUUUGGGUCCUUCAUUUUGAAGAGUAUUAUAUGUCGCAAAAAUAAUUUGUCGAUUUUUUUAGAUAUAUAGUUAUUUAAAAAUAAAUGUAGCUACCAUUUUUAAGAGUGUAUGUGUCUCGGAUAUUCGGUUCUCGAUUAGGUUCUGGUUCGGUUUUGGAUUUUUGGUAUUUAGAAAUAGAACCGCUAGGGUUUUACCAGUCCAAUUUUGGUAUAGUUCGACUGUUUCAGAUAAAAUGUCUAGUCCUAGAAUAUAUAGAGAGAUGGGUUGUUUGAGAAUUUUUCGUCUUUGUAUUUCCCAUUCUCAUGAAUCUCAUGAUGCUACUGAUUUAGGCUUUAGAGACGUCGAUACCAAGAUCGAUUUUGGGGUGGAACUACAGGACGUGGUUAAGUUCUUGAAGCUGAUGGGGAGAAAUCUAUUGUUCAGUUCUAGGUUGGUGGCCACUUGUGUCCAUUUGGGAUUUUGCUUUUUGGUUACGGUCAUGCUUUCUGUAGGAGUGGCUUCUGUAUUGGGUUACACCAAUCGGCAUAAGAAUCCGGAGGAGAUUAGUGAGACGGUCCAAUUCACACUGAACAUAAAACCUAAGAUUUUACUCCAGUGGGCCCCUCAUGCUUCUCACAAGAUUAAGCUAGCUGUGAGAGGAGGUUGUUCAAAAGCAUCUGGUGACUACAAGUGGCUUAGCCCAGAUAUGGGGAUUGUGGCUGUGUCAUCCUAUGCAGUUAUCCAGGUAAAGAGGCCUGGAAUAGCCAUUGUGAAGACGGCCGGUAUCGAAUCGUGAUCCUCAGAAUUCUGAUGAGAUUCUUGUCAGAGUUUUCGCAAGCCACGAUAAUGUAAGCGAUGAUAUGAUCAUAGAGCCCAUACUGAACAAUGAUCAGCUCGAGCCAAACUGUAUCUUGAAACCAAAGCGUAAGGCUUGCUUGCUCAUGAUGUUGCUAAUACACUGUCUCGUUGGUUGGACACUUGUUAUUUUAAGUCACUAUUGUUGUUUUGGAGGACGUACUGGCUAUGCAAAGCAUCUUAAGUCUCAGUGUUUUGAAAAACGGUUCAGACGUUUGCCUAUUCCGCGCAUAGAAGCUAAGCGGCUGUAGAUCAUCAAACGAUUUAUGUCUAGAAGUUGAAAUAAGGUUUGUUUGCUAUCGAGUAGAAUUAUACUAAACAAGAU